GGGACGCGGGCGGCCUCCUGAACGCGCGAGGGGGAAUACAACUCCGUGGGCUGAAAGCCAUCUUGAUACAGCUCAUACUCUUCAUCAACGAGCAUUUCUCUCUCUUCACCCAUUUCCUGCGAUCUAGGAGUCAGAAACUCAUGCAUUUCCCAGGCCUCCUUGCUGUUGUCGACCUCUUUUUGUUGGGACUGGAAAGACUUCCCCAGAUCUAGAAACGGUUUGUCCACAAGUUCUUCUUUGAAAUGGGGUUCAUCUCUAAAUCCCUGGAAACAAAAGGCGCAAAAAAAUUUUAGACUACACCUGUUUUAAAGGCUGCGCUCUGCACAGUAACUGAAAAAUUAACCAGCGGCAUAAAUGACUACACUCCGUGCUGACGCGUGGCUCCCGUGAACAGCUCCCCACCGCGAACGCAAGCUCACCACCGCACAGCCUCUGCCCAGGAAAGCGAGAAACAACCAAGUGAGAGGCAGAAACCUGCCCUGGGCAAGGUAUUCCUUAAAGAAAAAGAUCACUUUCUCAGGAAGAGAUCUUAAUAUUAAGAAAUGUGGUCAAGAGAUUCCUGGUAAAUUUCUAACACGAUCUGCUGUCUAACAUCACAUAUUUAUGAAGAGGACCGAAGGUAAAAACAGUCAUGGGUGCUCGUUAAUAAAGCACACAUUGUUAAACUACAAUUACACCAAUCUUUUCAAGUAGAGGGAGCUAUUACACAGGAAGAGAACAGAAAAGAACCCAAAAAAGUGCAGCGGGCUAUCAGCAGGCAAUCAGAGCAGCAAUAUAAAGGAGCUGUCUAUUUUGUCACCGGCAACCAUGAAUCACGACACACUUUCCAUCCUGAAAUAUGAAACCAUUACAUUUUAAGUUUGACACGCUAAUAAAUAAGCUGUACAAUUACGUCCUUCAUUUGGGAUGUCAGUGUUUGAUGAAAGGCUUUUUUACUUGGGGGGAAGGGAAACUACCUAUUAGCUUAUUCCCCUCAUGAAAUGCGCAAGCAGCGAGCACUACUUCAUAUUAAUAUUACUACACUUUCUCAGAGAAAAUUGCAUCUGUAAAAUAUACCAAAAGCAAAUAAAUGAUCUCACUGGGAUGGCGAGAGCAAUCUCUGCAGUUUCGUGUAACGCUGAGUCAAAAAGUACUAUUUUUAACCUAAACAGGUGAGUAGCUUUUCAAAGUGCAACCGGUUGAAAUGAUAAUUAGAAACAUUGCAAAGGAAGAUUAACCAGGGAAUAAUGGAAACGGAAAGAUUAGUAGAUUUCCCUUAAUACAGAAAAGUCGUGGUGGGCACAGUCUUGCUUAGACCCCGAAUCAGCACCAAGUGUGCCUGCUCACGAAAACGUGCUCAGACCUCCAGUCAUUCCACACUCAGUCUCCCUGGAGGAGAGAACCCCACGGUAGCUUCCUUCUCACUUAGAAAAAGACACACCCUUCCUCCUGGAGACGCCCCACCAAGGGUGGUCAGGGCUGGGUCUUCUAGGGUGCCUUUUCGGACUGGUUUCCCGUGUGCCUGAACGAUGUUGCUGGGAUGAGCAACAGUCACUUGCUUUCACCGUCCUCUCGGAGCAGCCGCCCCACGGAAAAACGGCAGCUGCCACAGCCCAUUGGGGCGGCCGCUCUCCUUGAGGCUCUGCUGCACCCAAAAUGCUCCAGAACCAGCCUGACCCAGGCUGCUUCUCCUCAGAAAAGUCUGUUUUCUGAAAAAACAGCCCACAAUAUCAUACCCGUGUUAUAUCAAACAAAAUGUUAUAAAGACCUUUCUCAAGACUCCAUCCAACUCCUAGACCCCAUGUCAAGUUCUCAAGUUCCCAUCAGUUUUUACCACCUUUAUCAUAAUUUAAAAAAUCUCUAAUUUUUCUUGUUUUGGUAAAUAACACUGCAAGGAACACUGUAUUCAAGAAUCAAGAUGUUGUUUUAGACCAAACAGCCAGCAGACGGCACUCAAGACCAACCAUAGACACCAGAAACAGCCUCUCUUACCACGCAAGCCCUUCUCCUCUUCUGAAGGGCUGUUUCCUCUCUAUUCAAAAGCUUUGUAUUAUUAUACGUGUUCCAACAGCCUGCCAUAUGUUGGCUUCAAUUCGACCAUUUAUGAAAGUUGUGCCCUACAGCUCUCAAAAAUACAUCAAACUCCUACCAUCAAUUAACAGCAGCCAACUCCCAUCAGAACACCACCCAGAAGAGAGGAGAUCUGACCUGAAUCCCCUUGGUACCCAGCUCUGAAACCCCAGACGGCCCAUCCAGGUGCCUCGUC
Equus caballus (horse) is the source of this 2245-nucleotide long non-coding RNA. RefSeq lists it as uncharacterized. The record is from RefSeq and is a predicted model, not a curated record. NCBI's taxonomy places the organism in Eukaryota, Metazoa, Chordata, Mammalia, Perissodactyla, Equidae.